CCCGCAUACUCCCCUUCCUUUUGUUCUGAUUUUUUUUGUGUGGGCUCGGACGGCGACGAAUCCCCCUGUAUGUGUUUUUCCUACGAUGGUGUGUAGCGGCAGAAUUGUUUCUUGUCCAUUGAGGCAUUGCGGUGUAGCAGCCGUUCAUUUUUGUGGUCAGCGUGGAGCUCCGAGCGGCGAUGGACUGUGCGGUGUUGAGCAGGGCAGCAUUCGAUUUUUUUUGUGAUCAUCAUGGGUGCUAAUCUAUCUUCUUUAUUGGUUGCGGUGCAAGGCGACGGUGAAAGUGUGUGUUGUAGAGCGAUGCUUCUGGUCUUGUUGUUCGUAUUGUUUUUCUAGUUGCCUGGCAACGGUGUUGUUCUGCGGAAGCUGCUACAGAUCUCUAAAGCGACGUGCUAUUGUUUUCUUCCGUUGAUUGUGUAACCGCGGAACAGUGGUCGGCGGUUUUGAUUUGUUGUAAUUAUUUUCUUCUUCUGAUGUUGCGGUCGGGUCGUGGUUGUAGGUAUUGAUACGUUACGGUUGCAAGGAUCGAGCUGGUUUUGUGUUCCCUUAGAUGGUAUUUUCUAGUGGAGUGCGGAGACAUCGCCGAUUUGUGUAGUAGGGAGCGGCAGAGAUGACUAAUUGGUUGCGGCUAGAGAUUCUGUGCUUGGCGGUUCUCACUCUUAGAGGGCCGAUUUAAGUCUUGUACUUCUGGCUACAAUUCAGAAUGUUGAGACUAAUGUGUAUUCGCUAGGAGGAUAAAUCUAUGUGCAAGACAACGACAGAUAGUUGUAUUAAGCCUAUAUCAAUGACAGACAGAGUUGAGGUUUAAUGUCUCGAGCAUACGUACUAUUCACGUUAGACAGCGGGACCAGCACUUCAAGGGUGUGCGAUCGAUUUCUUCAAUGAGGGAAGCGGCGGCCACUAACCGAGUUACCGAGGCCUUCUGAAUCUGGUGAAUUUCGCGUAUAUCAUUCUGUUGAUCCUCAAAUGGCUUGCAGAACUGGAAGUCCGCUGGAGACAUUGUGUAGUCUACAUGAUGGAGUAAUUUGAUUUUGCAGCCGCUUCCACUUCCACGGUGCAACGCCGGAAAGUGAACCUGGAAAAAAAUCUCCUGAGGGCCCCGCAAAUCGGAACGGUGAAUCGGGCUUGUAUUGGGACUCUCAGUCGCGUUUGUUAGGUUGGCUUCUGGAUAGUUCGAGCUGCACGUUGCCUUCGGAGAGGCGACUUUUUAGAGGGAAGGUGGUGCUUGGGUGAAGUUUAAGCCUUAGGUGCAAAGAUAUCUUACGGGGUACAGCAAUUCGUCUGCAGCAGCAAUCUCAAUGUCAACCCCAAGGUUAGAAUCUUCAGUUUCGGAAGCAAAGUCGUCGUCCGAAACGGUUCUCUGAUCUGACCCGGUAGCAGCAAAAUAAGUAUUAGGCAAUACUUGGAACUUCCUAGAUUGUUACAAGCUGAGAGACCAUUGUAGUGCUACUACGCGGACGAAUCCGUUUGUAUUAGUCACAUGAUUCGGUACUAAGAGCUGUAGUAUAAUUGGAACAGCAAAGGGGCUUACUUAAUCUCUAAUAUUGUUUUCAUUUAUUUUCUUCUGUGCUUCUGUGAUCAGGAGCCCUUAUUGUAUCAGUUGUCAUUUUGAAGCAUAUUGCGCAUGCCCAUGAGAUCAGGUUAGUUAAUAGGUUGCAUAUUAGACCGUAGGAGAUCACUAGGUUGUUAGAAAAAAUCGGAGUGUCGACUCGUCUAGAUGCGCGAAGUUGAAGCUGUUCAUGGAAGGUGGCUUUUUGGGAUUUCACCGCAUUAUUGGAAAGCCUACCAUUGCGGCCUGUGUGAGGCGCAAGACUUAAGCAUUCGAGUAUUUGUGAGUGAACGGAAAAAACUCUUCUUCAUUGUCCGAUUCAGCAGAAGAGUGCAAGUUUGAUGAACUCAGCAUCUUUACCAUCGUGGUGUCAGUGGAAGGGAAAAGGUAGGAGUUUGUGGUGUACAUUGCGACUGUUGACUAGAGCGAUGCAAAAUAUUUCAAGUAAAUAAUUAUUAUUAAAGUCAACGUGGAAGUAAUCUCGGCAAAGGGAUUCUUUAUCAGAGAAUACGGCAUUUGCAGACUAGUAAGCCGCUCCCUCAACGAGAGCGGUUACUUCCUCGAUCAUCUGAGCAGGGCAUAUCAUUCACUGAAUGUCAAGUCCCCUGAACUACAUUUGAACUUCGUCGAAUCUUGCAGCAAGGGAUUCAUGAUUAAUGUACAACAUAUGAUGAUGAAGGGCAUAGAGAAUCCUGAAGGCACCUUCAAUAAAUAUUUAUAUUGCUGGCUGUAGUGCUUGGGCAGCUGGAGAGAGUCAACGCCAGAGAGUAGUGAUCUCCUAUUACUGAAUGAAGGUUUUCUAGAUUAUACAUAUGUAGGAGAAGCUUGGUGCUAGAUGAUGUUACAGAAGCAGACAUACGAGCCGCAUGUUGGAAUGCAGUUGGCAGUGUCGAUUCCUGAAAAUAGAAGUUUUAGGAAGUUGUGCCGAAUCAGUCUCCAACAAACUGAAAUGGAUGUCAAACGGGACUGUUUGCGAACAAUAGCAAUG
Non-coding RNA from Physcomitrium patens, 2537 nucleotides. The record is from RefSeq and is a predicted model, not a curated record. Lineage: Eukaryota; Viridiplantae; Streptophyta; Bryopsida; Funariales; Funariaceae.